Molecule: transfer RNA, 75 nt
Filed under: Deinococcus metalli
Lineage: Bacteria; Thermotogati; Deinococcota; Deinococci; Deinococcales; Deinococcaceae
Description: tRNA-Ala
Rfam family: tRNA
About the family: Transfer RNA (tRNA) molecules are approximately 80 nucleotides in length. Their secondary structure includes four short double-helical elements and three loops (D, anti-codon, and T loops).
Source: RNAcentral
GGGAUCGUAGCUCAACGGGAGAGCACCUGCCUUGCACGCAGGGGGCUGAGAGUUCAAAUCUCUCCGAUUCCACCA